CCUACGGGAGGCAGCAGUGAGGAAUAUUGGUCAAUGGACGAGAGUCUGAACCAGCCAAGUAGCGUGAAGGAUGACUGCCCUAUGGGUUGUAAACUUCUUUUAUACGGGAAUAAAGUGAGGCACGUGUGCCUUUUUGUAUGUACCGUAUGAAUAAGGAUCGGCUAACUCCGUGCCAGCAGCCGCGGUAAUACGGAGGAUCCGAGCGUUAUCCGGAUUUAUUGGGUUUAAAGGGAGCGUAGGCGGACGCUUAAGUCAGUUGUGAAAGUUUGCGGCUCAACCGUAAAAUUGCAGUUGAUACUGGGUGUCUUGAGUACAGUAGAGGCAGGCGGAAUUCGUGGUGUAGCGGUGAAAUGCUUAGAUAUCACGAAGAACUCCGAUUGCGAAGGCAGCUUGCUGGACUGUAACUGACGCUGAUGCUCGAAAGUGUGGGUAUCAAACAGGAU
RNAcentral lists this ribosomal RNA (443 nucleotides) under uncultured Bacteroides sp. RNAcentral describes it as "bacterial SSU rRNA". It matches the Rfam family "Bacterial small subunit ribosomal RNA", at positions 338 to 778 of the family's 1533-position model. The record is from RNAcentral. Lineage: Bacteria; Pseudomonadati; Bacteroidota; Bacteroidia; Bacteroidales; Bacteroidaceae.